CAAUAGCGUAUAUUAAAGUUGUUGCAGUUAAAAAGCUCGUAGUUGAAUUUUUGCUUGCCGCCGAUGUCGGAACUUCCGUACGUUCGGCGGCGUGCAUCCUUGGGUGGAACCUGUGUGGCAUUAGGUUGUCGUGCAGGGGAUGCUCAUCGUUUACUGUGAAAAAAUUAGAGUGUUCAAAGCAGGCUUACGCCGUUGAAUAUAUUAGCAUGGAAUAAUAAGAUAGGACCUUGGUACUAUUUUGUUGGUUUGCGCACCGAGGUAAUGAUUAACAGGGACAGUUGGGGGUAUUCGUAUUCCAUUGUCAGAGGUGAAAUUCUUGGAUUUCUGGAAGACGAACUACUGCGAAAGCAUUUACCAAGGAUGUUUUCGUUAA
RNAcentral lists this ribosomal RNA (373 nucleotides) under uncultured eukaryote. RNAcentral describes it as "partial 18S ribosomal RNA". It matches the Rfam family "Eukaryotic small subunit ribosomal RNA", at positions 592 to 976 of the family's 1831-position model. The record is from RNAcentral.